This is a long non-coding RNA of Carassius auratus (goldfish), 1686 nucleotides long. Lineage: Eukaryota; Metazoa; Chordata; Actinopteri; Cypriniformes; Cyprinidae. The record is from Ensembl.
UAAUUAUAUACAAUAAAUGUUUUAGGUAAUAUUUAUAUUUUUAAACAUUUAUAUUUAUAUUAGAUAUGUAUAUAUGUAUAUGUAAUUGUAAAUAUGAAAUAUGUAAAAUAUGUAAUGGAUAUGUAAAAUAUAUAUAUACAUUAUAUAUACAUAAUAGUGCUGUCAAAUGAUUAAUCGCUUCCAAAAUAAACGUUUUUGUUUACAUGAUAUAUGUGUGUGUACUCUGUAUAUUUAUACACACAAAUGCAUGUAUAUAUUUAAGAUAAAUGUUACAUUUAUAUAUUAAAUAUAUUUACAUAUAUUAUAAAUAUUAUGAAUAAAAUAUUCAUUCGUAAAUACAUGUAAAUAUUUUCAAAAUAUAUGCUGUAUGUGUGCGGAUUUAUAUAUACAGAAUAAAUAUACACAGUACACAUGCUAUAUGUUAUGUAAACAAAAACUUUUAUUUUAGAUGCGAUUAAUCGCGAUUAAUUAUUUGAUAGCACUAAAACACACACACACAUACAUUAUAUAUAUAUAUAUAUAGUAUAAAACAUUACUAACAUUACUAACAUUCCAAUCAUAAAACGAUUAAAUUAUUUAAAUGAUUUUUUUGACAUUUUGUACAUUGUCAAACAGAAAGUGGAUUUCUAGAAUAAAAGUCCUUCAUUCACAGGCCGAAUCUAACAUAUUCAGCUAUUUCAUAAAAAAAAAACUCACCUUCACUUUGGGUCUGGCCACGAUAUACAACAGCAUGAAUCCCGAAACAACCACACCUCCCACAAUGCCAUACUGCACCUCCCAGAAACUGACCACAAACGUGACCAAGAACGGCAGCAGAUCGAGUCCUGAGAGCUGGAGCGGCACUCUGAAGUCCAUCAUGGGACAGACGGCGCAGAUGAUGACGGCAGCGAGGGACGCUUUAGGGAUGUAGAAGAAGAGUGGCAUGAGGAACGCCAGCGACAGCAGCACUAUCACACCUGCCCAGAAACACACACCUUCAGACGCUGUCCACAGUUUAAAAGUCAACCUGAUCGCAGAGAGUGUGUGCUACCUGUGACGAUCCCUCCAGCGGGCGAACACACUCCGGUUUGAGAGUUCACCGCGGUUCUGUCAGAAAACACCACAUCAAGACACUGGCUUAGCGAAGAGCUAGCCAACAAAUACUUUAGCAUUAGCGCUUAGCUUGCAGACAGACCUUCCGAAGCUGCCCGUGACGGGAUACGCCGACACAAACGAGCCCAUGAUGUUGGUGAGACCUGCAAAAACAACAUUACAAUGAGAAACCGACCGAUUUACGCUUGUGAUAAAACAUCGUAAAGGAAGAGAAUCUCUCACCGAUGGCAAAGAGCUCUUGGUUAGCAUCAAUUCGGUAGUUAUUCUUGCUAGCUGCAUGGAGAAAAGAAAAAAGUGUUAAAUGUGUCUAAACAACAUCUGACACAGAAGUAAGGACAGUUUGAAGCUCUUACCGAAAGCCUUCGCAAUAGCGAUGCUCUCUAAGACGCCCAUUAACGGAAUAACGGCCAGACCGCCGCCUAAAUCCUGAGAAAACACACCCGAUUGGUCAUUAAUGAUCAAUAUUCUGUUAGAUACUCUACUUACAAUCUCUCAAAUGUCACAUAUACUUUACUAAUACCAUAGUUUACUAUUCUGAAAUGUGGUAUUACAUGACAGCUCAACUUUCUGGGAUCCAAGUACCACAAGGGGGCG